This 459-nucleotide ribosomal RNA is filed under the name uncultured Nitrosomonas sp. RNAcentral describes it as "bacterial SSU rRNA". It matches the Rfam family "Bacterial small subunit ribosomal RNA", at positions 198 to 638 of the family's 1533-position model. The record is from RNAcentral. Lineage: Bacteria; Pseudomonadati; Pseudomonadota; Betaproteobacteria; Nitrosomonadales; Nitrosomonadaceae.
GGGAGAAAGCAGGGGAUCGAAAGACCUUAUGCUUUUGGAGCGGCCGAUGUCUGAUUAGCUAGUUGGUAAGGUAAUGGCUUACCAAGGCAACGAUCAGUAGUUGGUCUGAGAGGACGACCAGCCACACUGGGACUGAGACACGGCCCAGACUCCUACGGGAGGCAGCAGUGGGGAAUUUUGGACAAUGGGCGCAAGCCUGAUCCAGCAAUGCCGCGUGAGUGAAGAAGGCCUUCGGGUUGUAAAGCUCUUUCAGUUGAAAAGAAAAGAUUGUGACUAAUAAUUGCAAUUCAUGACGGUAUCAACAGAAGAAGCACCGGCUAACUACGUGCCAGCAGCCGCGGUAAUACGUAGGGUGCGAGCGUUAAUCGGAAUUACUGGGCGUAAAGGGUGCGCAGGCGGUUCUGUAAGUCAGAUGUGAAAUCCCCGGGCUUAACCUGGGAACUGCGUUUGAAACUACAA